Molecule: long non-coding RNA, 750 nt
Organism: Nannospalax galili (Upper Galilee mountains blind mole rat)
Lineage: Eukaryota; Metazoa; Chordata; Mammalia; Rodentia; Spalacidae
Exons: 6
Source: RefSeq, a predicted model, not a curated record
UGCCGGGCAGAGCUGAGGCCGCAUGGCGCCAAAGUCUGCCGGCCCAGGGUCCUGGGGGCCUGGAGAACUCCACUGAGACUAGGGAGCGCCCCAGUUCAGGAGCAGGGUGGUGUAGAACCGGAAGCAGACUGAACAGGACCGAGUCUCUGCUGAAUGCGAAAGUUUACCCCAGCAGCAGGAACCACGCAGAGCGGGUGUGUUGACAUUCGGUGAUGUGGCUGUAGACUUCUCACAGAAGGACAGGGAAUGCCUGGAUCUUGCUCAGAGGACUUUGUACAGAGACUUGACGGUGGAGAAUUACAGCUCUCUCAUUUUUCUUGGUGAUGUGGAUUUUCAGUGAACUGGAAGGAAGUUUCUCAAAACGGAGAGAGGAAUGUUUAUGUAAGAUUCCUGGAAAGGAAACUCACAGAAGGAGGAGACAGAUGGCUUCUUUUCAGAGUAAUCCAGUAAAUGCAUGGCCAACCAUCUCAAAAUUGUUUCUGAUGAGGAAAGUGAAAACUGAAACACGCCAGUCUUCAAUUUAAGGAGGAUGGAUAUGCCACUGAUCCAUUGACAUUCAAGGAUGUGUCCUUUGACUUCUCCCAGAAGGAGUGGAAAUACCUAGACUCUGCUCCUCUGUACAAGGAGGUGAUGUUGGAGAACUGCAGCAAUCUGGUGUCUGUAGGUCUUGCUAGGUGUAAGCCUGUUCUGGUCUCCUGUCUGGAGCAAAGCAAAGAGCUCUGGAAUGUGAAGAGAGGGAAGACUGUAGCC